Molecule: ribosomal RNA, 276 nt
Filed under: Treponema sp.
Lineage: Bacteria; Pseudomonadati; Spirochaetota; Spirochaetia; Treponematales; Treponemataceae
Description: partial 23S ribosomal RNA
Rfam family: Bacterial large subunit ribosomal RNA
Source: RNAcentral
GGAUGGUUGAGAGGAGCUGUUUUUAGUACGAGAGGACCGAAAUGGACGUACCUCUGGUGUACCGGUUGUCCUGCCAAGGGCAAGUGCCGGGUAGCCACGUACGGAAGGGAUAACCGCUGAAGGCAUCUAAGUGGGAAGCCCCCCUCAAGAUAAACCAUCCCCGGGGAUAUAAUCCCCCUGAAGGCACCAGGGAGACUACCUGGUUGAUAGGGCGGAGGUCUAAGCACGGCAACGUGUUCAGCCGACCGCUACUAAUCUGCCGUGAGGCUUGACCAU